RNAcentral lists this ribosomal RNA (631 nucleotides) under bacterium xpnta632lb741off11.20. RNAcentral describes it as "bacterial SSU rRNA". It matches the Rfam family "Bacterial small subunit ribosomal RNA", at positions 50 to 694 of the family's 1533-position model. The record is from RNAcentral.
UACACAUGCAGUCGAACGAUGACGACCGGGCUUGCCUGGUCUGAUUAGUGGCGAACGGGUGAGUAACACGUGAGUAACCUGCCCUUCACUCUGGGAUAACCUCGGGAAAUCGGGGCUAAUACCGGAUAUGAGUUCCUGCCGCAUGGUGGGUGCUGGAAAGUUUUUCGGUGAGGGAUGGACUCGCGGCCUAUCAGUUUGUUGGUGAGGUAAUGGCUCACCAAGGCGAUGACGGGUAGCCGGCCUGAGAGGGCGACCGGCCACACUGGGACUGAGACACGGCCCAGACUCCUACGGGAGGCAGCAGUGGGGAAUAUUGCACAAUGGGCGAAAGCCUGAUGCAGCGACNCCGCGUGGGGGAUGACGGCCUUCGGGUUGUAAACCUCUUUCAGCAGGGAAGAAGCGAGAGUGACGGUACCUGCAGAAGAAGCGCCGGCUAACUACGUGCCAGCAGCCGCGGUAAUACGUAGGGCGCAAGCGUUGUCCGGAAUUAUUGGGCGUAAAGAGCUUGUAGGUGGCUUGUCGCGUCUGCCGUGAAAACCCGAGGCUCAACCUCGGGCGUGCGGUGGGUACGGGCAGGCUAGAGUGUGGUAGGGGAGACUGGAACUCCUGGUGUAGCGGUGAUAUGCGCAGA